GCGGCAUGCCUUACACAUGCAAGUCGAACGGCAGCGGGCUCUUCGGAGCGCCGGCGAGUGGCAAACGGGUGAGUAAUACAUCGGAACAUGCCCAGUAGUGGGGGAUAGCUCGGCGAAAGCCGAAUUAAUACCGCAUACGACCUUCGGGUGAAAGGGGGGGAUCUUCGGACCUCUCGCUAUUGGAGUGGCCGAUGGCUGAUUAGUUUGUUGGUGGGGUAACGGCCUACCAAGACUACGAUCAGUAGCUGGUCUGAGAGGACGAUCAGCCACACUGGGACUGCGACACGGCCCAGACUCCUACGGGAGGCAGCAGUGGGGAAUCUUGGACAAUGGGCGAAAGCCUGAUCCAGCAAUGCCGCGUGUGCGAUGAAGGCUUUCGGGUUGUAAAGCACUUUUAUCAGGGAAGAAAUGGUUUGGGAUAAUACCUCAAAUAGCUGACGGUACCUGAAGAAUAAGCACCGGCUAACUACGUGCCAGCAGCCGCGGUAAUACGUAGGGUGCGAGCGUUAAUCGGAAUUACUGGGCGUAAAGCGUGCGCAGGCGGUUUGCUAAGACAGGUGUGAAAUCCCCGGGCUCAACCCGGGAACUGCAUCUGUGACUAGUAGACUAGAGUUUGGCAGAGGGGGGUGGAAUUCCUGGUGUAGCAGUGAAAUGCGUAGAUAUUAGGAGGAACACCGAUGGCGAAGGCAGCCCCCUGGGCCACCACUGACGCUCAUGCACGAAAGCGUGGGGAGCAAACAGGAUUAGAUACCCUGGUAGUCCACGCCCUAAACGAUGUCAACUAGUUGUUGGAUCUUUUUUGAUUUGGUAACGAAGCUAACGCGUGAAGUUGACCGCCUGGGGAGUACGG
This 850-nucleotide ribosomal RNA is filed under the name uncultured Burkholderiales bacterium. RNAcentral describes it as "bacterial SSU rRNA". It matches the Rfam family "Bacterial small subunit ribosomal RNA", at positions 39 to 885 of the family's 1533-position model. The record is from RNAcentral. Lineage: Bacteria; Pseudomonadati; Pseudomonadota; Betaproteobacteria; Burkholderiales.